UACGUAGGGGGCCAGCGUUGUUCGGAAUUACUGGGUGUAAAGGGUUCGUAGGCGGUGCGGCAAGUUGGGAGUGAAAUCUCUGGGCUUAACCCAGAGGCUGCUUCCAAAACUGCUGUGCUUGAGUGUGGGAGAGGCGCGUGGAAUUGCAGGUGUAGCGGUGAAAUGCGUAGAUAUCUGCAGGAACACCCGUGGCGAAAGCGGCGCGCUGGACCACUACUGACGCUGAGGAACGAAAGCUAGGGAAGCAAACAGG
This 253-nucleotide ribosomal RNA is filed under the name uncultured bacterium. RNAcentral describes it as "partial 16S ribosomal RNA". It matches the Rfam family "Bacterial small subunit ribosomal RNA", at positions 524 to 776 of the family's 1533-position model. The record is from RNAcentral.